AUUUAAUAUGAGCAACCACAAGUUAGACAAAAAGAAAUAUGUCUGUGUGACACAUAUCUUAAGUUAAAAGAAUAUAGAUUUAAAAUAUCGAAAGGCCAAAAGACAAAAAGUUUGAACAGGCUUCAAAUAAUCAAACAUAAUAUUCUGAGUGAAAAUUCUUUCUUCUUUUAAAAUAUGUAGGUAAGACCUUUUGUCCCUACUAAUUUAACUUUUCUUCGACCUAUUGUAUUUCAUUUUUUAUUUCAUUCCUGGAGCAACAUUUGAAAAGGGCCCAACAGGAUUUGUGCCUUUUUUCGAAAUCGCUUCGAGGGCCUAACAGCAGCCCACCCACGCAAAUGAACACCGUUAUCCGAAAGAUCGAUGUUUGCUCUAUCUGAAAACUGUCUUAGUUUGUGUGAAUAAUUUGAUGGGGGGCCCUUGUAUGCCCUUUUCAAAUGUUGCUCCAGAUUUAUACGAUUUAUCUUUUCAGCUUCAGCAUUUCAGAAGGGCGUAACUGGUUGAUGAUACGGCUCCUUCUUCUAUGGAAGUAGAUUGCAUGUCACCCCGCUAAUGUAAGCCAUCGAAAGAGGAGCAUUAUUUUUGUCUAGAAGUGCAACGCCACAGCUUUAAAAAAAGGUGUUGUUUUGGAAAGUAGUUACGCGUUCUUGAAAUACUGAGGCUGAGAGGACAAAAUGUAGAAAUGCAAAAAAAAAAAUCGAAGACAAUAUUGCGCGUUUCGCCGUAGAUUAUCACACAAAAAUGUUCAAAAUCGCAAAUAGAUCGUCGCCAGUACAUCAUAUCGAGUCCGUGUCUUCUACAAAAAAUGCGGAAAAUAGCUAUUGAUUGACCGCGCAGAAGACACUGAAACGAUUAAAUGUAACUGCGCAUAUUUAUUUACAUGUUUGCAUAAUUUUGCGCGAUAAUUUUUCUUGUAAUGUAUAGUAGGUCGAAAAAAAUAAAAUUAGUAGGGACAAAAGGUCUUACCUACAUAUUAAAAAAAAGAAAGAAUUUUCGUGCAGCAUUUUAUGUGUGAUUACUUGAAGCCUGAUUCGACUUUUUGUCUUUUGCCCUUUCAAUGUUUUUUUUUUUCUAUACUUUUAACUUAAGCCGUUUGGCACACAGACAUAUUUCUUUUUGUUUAAUUUGUGGUUGCCCAUAUUUGACUAUUGUUUUAAAGCAGAUUUUCUGUAUAGAGAGUGUACGCUCUUCAUAUAUCGAUGCUAACAUUUCAAAAUGGCAAAACUGCUGGCCGAAACCAAACCUUUAUCUCUCCGUUGCAACGUACAACCACUACUGGACGGAGGAAAUGCAAUUCUUGCCGAUAGUUGUCGUUGGUGUCCUGGGAAAGAUGAGAUUCGAUCUACAGCUAUGGUAGAAGAUAUUGUUUUAAAGAUCAAUUACGUCCUUUUGAAAUGUUUGUGCUGAUAUGUAUGUGAAUACUAUCGCUAUGACUGACAGUAAUAUGAACAUCUAUUGACAUGUGGAAUCACAAUACAAUAUACUUUUAAUUGAAUUUGUUACACCAAUGUAAUGUUUGUUUUCUAUAGGCCCUAAGAACUUCUACCGUAUAUUGACGUAAUGACAAAUUGUGAUACAAAAUGCACUCCACCGAUAUUCAUAUGGAUGCAUACUACCAAAUUUCAAUGUUGUUCAUGAUAAUUUCUGUUAUUGAUGCUUUUAAUUCAUGAUUCUGUUAUGAAAUGUGGUGUUAUUCUAUACAAAACUCGAUUUUUUAGAGGUUAGGCCCUUUAAAAGGGCGUAACUCAAAAUUUCGCCCAACGAUGAUUUUGAAAAUUUGUCCAGAGGUGUAGGAUAGAUAAAUAAAGAGAAUGGCGUUUCAGGUUUUGAUGGUAUAUUUUAUUUUAUAAUAACGGUAAAUGGAGCACCGUGCCCCGGUAUUAACUCAAUAUUGGCAAAAAAUGCAAAUGUUACAAUUAUGCAGUUAUGGGCAGUAUACUGAUGCAUCAAUUGCAUUAAACAAAUUUUGGUGUUAUUCGAUUCAGAGAUCGCUUCGUAAUCCCGUUCGUGAUGAUGUUCUUAACUGUAAUAUGAUUAAAGUUUUGUAUCUGUUUGUGAUUAAAAUAUGUGGGAGUCAAACAAACGAAACUUCCGAUGAACACACGUAAUUUUGUUUGAAAAUUUGUUAAAUACCCACAGCAAAUAUUUGAUGAUAUUUAUAUUUAUGUAUUCGUUUUAGAUUUUUGAGAUGAAAUUCCUCUGCCCUGGCCCAAGUACCAAAUCUCGUGCAGAAGAGCUUUGGAUGAUGACGUAUGCAGAUCGAGAGCAAAAUCGGAAGAAACAAGCGUUUCAUGAUUACAUGAAAUCAUUUCCGGUAGCAUCUUCGUUUAACGGGCUCAUGAUUUCCUUGGACCUCGGAAAAAUGCAUCCCGAUGCACAGGAUUUCUGCCAGCAGUUUUCGGUUUUGCAGUCGAAGGUGUUUGCUAAAUAUGACGAUUUGCUGCUCCACAUUUCAUACGACUUCCUACGCACGUUGGCCAUAAUACGCCUGGAAAAUCCGUCACGUGGUGUCAAACGUUCAAACAAUGAGACAACGAAGAAAAAACACACUGGAUGGAAUAGUCGAUAUAGUUAAGGAGGAUGAUGUUACUGUGGUCGCCAAUACACCAGUGCUUCGCGUGAAGCUAACACCUAAAGGAUGUGACGAAGGUACAAUUGCCUGGAAGGAAUGCUCUAUCAAGUUGGCGUUGGAUUUAGUGAAUUUCUUCCGCGUUUCAUGCGAGACCUUUCACGUUUUCAACUGUGAUGUAAGGCCCGAGAACAAACAAUUUUAUUCCUUUAUUUUUGCUCCUGUUAUGAAAAUUGGAUCGUUGUCCAAAUAGAAAUACACUAGAACUCCAAUGGCGCUGCA
This is a long non-coding RNA of Aedes albopictus (Asian tiger mosquito), 2848 nucleotides long. RefSeq lists it as uncharacterized. The transcript is spliced from 4 exons. NCBI's taxonomy places the organism in Eukaryota, Metazoa, Arthropoda, Insecta, Diptera, Culicidae. The record is from RefSeq and is a predicted model, not a curated record.